Molecule: non-coding RNA, 122 nt
Organism: Picea glauca (white spruce)
Lineage: Eukaryota; Viridiplantae; Streptophyta; Pinopsida; Pinales; Pinaceae
Source: Rfam
UCAUAUGUACAUGCCUACAAUGUUAAUGCACUGAAUCCCAAUAGAAAUAUACAGUUAAGCACACAUGGGAUAGAGUAGUAUUGGGAUAGGUGAUCAUUUUGAAGUCCUUGUUUUUACAUGCC